GACGAAGGGGGCUAGCGUUGCUCGGAAUCACUGGGCGUAAAGGGUGCGUAGGCGGGUCUUUAAGUCAGAGGUGAAAUCCUGGAGCUCAACUCCAGAACUGCCUUUGAUACUGAGGAUCUUGAGUUCGGGAGAGGUGAGUGGAACUGCGAGUGUAGAGGUGAAAUUCGUAGAUAUUCGCAAGAACACCAGUGGCGAAGGCGGCUCACUGGCCCGGAACUGACGCUGAGGCGCGAAAGCGUGGGGAGCAAACAGG
Molecule: ribosomal RNA, 253 nt
Filed under: uncultured bacterium
Lineage: Bacteria
Description: partial 16S ribosomal RNA
Rfam family: Bacterial small subunit ribosomal RNA
Source: RNAcentral